GUGCCAGCAGCCGCGGUAAUACAGAGGGUGCAAGCGUUAAUCGGAAUUACUGGGCGUAAAGCGCGCGUAGGCGGUUGUGUAAGUUGGAUGUGAAAUCCCCGGGCUUAACCUGGGCACUGCAUUCAAAACUGCACGGCUAGAGUAUUGGAGAGGAAGGUAGAAUUCCAGGUGUAGCGGUGAAAUGCGUAGAGAUCUGGAGGAAUACCGAUGGCGAAGGCAGCCUUCUGGCCAAAUACUGACGCUGAGGUGCGAAAGCAUGGGGAGCAAACAGGAUUAGAAACCCUUGUAGUCC
This 292-nucleotide ribosomal RNA is filed under the name uncultured bacterium. RNAcentral describes it as "partial 16S ribosomal RNA". It matches the Rfam family "Bacterial small subunit ribosomal RNA", at positions 505 to 796 of the family's 1533-position model. The record is from RNAcentral.